UUGGCAGUGAUUUCCCAUGAUGAAGCAACUCUUUGGUGCUUUCAUUUCCAUAAAAGCUCUAGUCUAUUUAGAGGUAGUUCCUAGCACCUUGCCCUUAACAAGGCAAUACAGAUAAAGUUCAUUAAAUAUAUUGUCUAAGGUAGGAAAGUGAAGAAGUUUUGCUGUAGCAAGCACUUAACCUUGGGGGAAAAAAAAAGUAAAAUAAAUGGAACAAAUUAUUUCUUAUAAAAGCAAAGAUGAUAUGAACAUAUUGGUAUUGCAUGUUCUGCUGUGUUCACAAAAUUGCCCGAAUGAAGACUCUGGAUGGGGUGUAUUAUUAGACCUUAAUCAAUAGGAAUUUUUUCAAGCAGGCUGGGCAUCCAACUAUUUGACGCAGAUCUUUUCCACACACAAGAGCACUGGAACACCGGAAACUGCAGCAUUAGUGAAUUACAAGGAAGAUUGCAAAUGCCUAUGAUUUUAGAGCUAAUUCUGACAAGAUAGUGGUCAAGCAACUUUUACAGCUUUUUGAUACUUCUGCUGGAAUGCUGAAUUUUUGUUUCUUCUUACAGCAGGGCUUCCAGAAUAGCUGCUGAAGGAAGUCCCCAGAGCUGCUACUGCCUACUCAGGUCUACAGACUCCUUGUGGGAGAGUAGAACCAUGGUACUCCAGAGACCCACUGAUGCAGUCCAGGCAAGCAGAAGGCUGCUGCCCACAGUUGCAGAGAAGACAGAGGUCAUCUGGCCUCUGGGACCACCAGGAGACAUCCAAUGUUCCCUUCUUGUACAAGCACGCAGCUGCUUCUGAUCUCAUCAAAAGCAGGGAAUCUAAUUAAUGAAGAAGGAAUUUCUCUACCCCUAUGUACGUAUAGAGUUAAUGCAGUCAAUAUAGAUUGUGAGAAAAGCUAAGAUAGAAAAAUAAGUACAAAAAUAUUAAAUUAUAAAAAAAUCCUAUGCUUCUAAUGGUAUGCAGAACAGCUUAUAUAUUCAAGAAAAGACAAACCCUGCAGGGAAAGGUUUUUAGAAUUGCUCUCUUUCCUCAUGAAAAGGAGUAUAUGGCUUUAUUUAAACAAGUCAGACAACUUUAACAAACAUCUCUUCACACCUAUUCCCUUUCUGACUGUGUUUUAGUAGUUUAUUAUUUGCAUCAAACAUGAAAAAUUUUGAACCUGGAAAAGUCUCCUUCUGCUUUAAUAUUACAAUCCCUUGAGUGUAUACCAUUACUUAAAAUUCAAUUCCUACAAUAUAUAUUUUUUCAAAAAGCACCCUCACAAUCUGACAGGUAAAAGCUCAAGAAAACAAUUUUUCAGUGACAAUAUUCCCAAAAGGAAUCCAGCUUCAACUCAAAUUUGAAUAAUGUGAGCAGAAAGGAGCUGAAAAUGUACAUUAAUGAAUAAUUGUUCAAUUCAUGUGACAGGGAUCAUCUUCCACUGGAAAUGACAGUUGCACUGAAAUGAUAAAACUGCAAAGCAGACUGUAAACUUGCACCUAAAAA
Taeniopygia guttata (zebra finch) is the source of this 1473-nucleotide non-coding RNA. The record is from RefSeq and is a predicted model, not a curated record. Lineage: Eukaryota; Metazoa; Chordata; Aves; Passeriformes; Estrildidae.